RNAcentral lists this ribosomal RNA (253 nucleotides) under uncultured bacterium. RNAcentral's name for it is "partial 16S ribosomal RNA". It matches the Rfam family "Bacterial small subunit ribosomal RNA", at positions 524 to 776 of the family's 1533-position model. The record is from RNAcentral.
UACGGAGGGUGCAAGCGUUCAUCGGAAUUACUGGGCGUAAAGCGUGCGCAGGCGGUUGUGUAAGACAGAUGUGAAAUCCCCGGGCUCAACCUGGGAACUGCAUUUGUGACUGCACAGCUGGAGUGCGGCAGAGGGGGAUGGAAUUCCGCGUGUAGCAGUGAAAUGCGUAGAUAUGCGGAGGAACACCGAUGGCGAAGGCAAUCCCCUGGGCCUGCACUGACGCUCAUGCACGAAAGCGUGGGGAGCAAACAGG